This 430-nucleotide ribosomal RNA is filed under the name Pseudomonadota bacterium. Its description in RNAcentral is "Proteobacteria bacterium partial 16S ribosomal RNA". It matches the Rfam family "Bacterial small subunit ribosomal RNA", at positions 355 to 776 of the family's 1533-position model. Lineage: Bacteria; Pseudomonadati; Pseudomonadota. The record is from RNAcentral.
UGGGGAAUAUUGGACAAUGGGCGAAAGCCUGAUCCAGCCAUGCCGCGUGGGUGAAGAAGGCCUUUUGGUUGUAAAGCACUUUAAGCGAGGAGGAGGCUACUAGUACUAAUACUACUGGAUAGUGGACGUUACUCGCAGAAUAAGCACCGGCUAACUCUGUGCCAGCAGCCGCGGUAAUACAGAGGGUGCGAGCGUUAAUCGGAUUUACUGGGCGUAAAGCGUGCGUAGGCGGCUAAUUGAGUCGGAUGUGAAAUCCCCGAGCUUAACUUGGGAAUUGCAUUCGAUACUGGUUAGCUAGAGUGUGGGAGAGGAUGGUAGAAUUCCAGGUGUAGCGGUGAAAUGCGUAGAGAUCUGGAGGAAUACCGAUGGCGAAGGCAGCCAUCUGGCCUAACACUGACGCUGAGGUACGAAAGCAUGGGGAGCAAACAGG